Molecule: ribosomal RNA, 253 nt
Filed under: uncultured bacterium
Lineage: Bacteria
Description: partial 16S ribosomal RNA
Rfam family: Bacterial small subunit ribosomal RNA
Source: RNAcentral
GACAGAGGAUGCAAGCGUUAUCCGGAAUGAUUGGGCGUAAAGCGUCUGUAGGUGGCUUUUUAAGUCCGCCGUCAAAUCCCAGGGCUCAACCCUGGACAGGCGGUGGAAACUACCAAGCUGGAGUACGGUAGGGGCAGAGGGAAUUUCCGGUGGAGCGGUGAAAUGCGCAGAUAUCAGGAAGAACACCCGUGGCGAAGGCGGCUCUCUGGGACGGUACUGACGCUGAGACGCGAAAGCGUGGGGAGCGAACAGG